Molecule: microRNA precursor, 74 nt
Filed under: Haemonchus placei
Lineage: Eukaryota; Metazoa; Nematoda; Chromadorea; Rhabditida; Trichostrongylidae
Description: mir-5928 microRNA precursor family
Rfam family: mir-5928 microRNA precursor family
Source: Rfam by way of RNAcentral
GGCACAAACUUGAAGUAGAAUAGUUGGAUAUGGUUAGCUGAUCCUAAUGACCUACUCUGCUUCAGUUUGUGCUC